UUAGAAAAUAGUUUUAAAAAUAUUAAUAUUGGAAAUUAAAGUUGAAAGGAUUUUCUUUCUUUUCUA
RNAcentral lists this transfer RNA (66 nucleotides) under Geocharax gracilis. RNAcentral describes it as "tRNA-Pro". Lineage: Eukaryota; Metazoa; Arthropoda; Malacostraca; Decapoda; Parastacidae. The record is from RNAcentral.